UACGUAGGGUGCGAGCGUUGUCCGGACUUAUUGGGCGUAAAGAGCUUGUAGGCGGUCUGUCGCGUCUGCUGUGAAAAUCCGGGGCUCAACCCCGGACUUGCAGUGGGUACGGGCAGACUAGAGUGUGGUAGGGAAGACUGGAAUUCCUGGUGUAGCGGUGAAAUGCGCAGAUAUCAGGAGGAACACCGAUGGCGAAGGCAGGUCUCUGGGCCACUACUGACGCUGAGAAGCGAAAGCAUGGGGAGCGAACAGG
Molecule: ribosomal RNA, 253 nt
Filed under: uncultured bacterium
Lineage: Bacteria
Description: partial 16S ribosomal RNA
Rfam family: Bacterial small subunit ribosomal RNA
Source: RNAcentral